GUCUUGUAGAUUAUAAUUUCAAGUCUGACCUGCCCAGUGAGGUUUUAAACGGCCGCGGUAUUUUGACCGUGCAAAGGUAGCAUAGUCAUUAGUUUUUUAAUUGAAAGCUUGAAUGAAAGGUUUGAUGAAAAAAAGACUGUCUCUAUAAAAAUUUAUUAGAAUUUUAUUUUUAAGUUAAAAAGCUUAAAUUUGAAUAGAAGACGAGAAGACCCUAUAGAGUUUUAUAUUUUUAAAGCAAAGAUAUUUUAGGAUUUAAAAAUUUUAUUGUUUGUAAGAAUAUUUUGUUGGGGUGAUAAAAAAACUAAAAAAACUUUUUUUAUAUAAAUACAUUUAUUUAUGGGUGAGUGAUCCUAGAAUUUAGAUUAAAAGAUUAAAUUACCUUAGGGAUAACAGCGUAAUUUUUUUUAGAGUUCUUAUCGAAAAAAAAGAUUGCGACCUCGAUGUUGGAUUAAAAUUGAUUGUUGGUGAAGAAGCUAAUAAAUUAGGUCUGUUCGACCUUUAAAAUUUUACAUGAUCUGAGUUUAGACCGGUGUGAG
RNAcentral lists this ribosomal RNA (536 nucleotides) under Trigonopterus finniganensis. RNAcentral describes it as "partial large subunit ribosomal RNA". It matches the Rfam family "Bacterial large subunit ribosomal RNA", at positions 1830 to 2625 of the family's 2925-position model. The record is from RNAcentral. Lineage: Eukaryota; Metazoa; Arthropoda; Insecta; Coleoptera; Curculionidae.